UACGUAGGGUGCGAGCGUUGUCCGGAAUUAUUGGGCGUAAAGAGCUUGUAGGCGGUUUGUCGCGUCUGCCGUGAAAUUUCGAGGCUCAACCUCGAACUUGCGGUGGGUACGGGCAGACUAGAGUGUGGUAGGGGGAGACUGGAAUUCCUGGUGUAGCGGUGGAAUGCGCAGAUAUCAGGAGGAACACCGAUGGCGAAAGG
Molecule: ribosomal RNA, 200 nt
Filed under: uncultured bacterium
Lineage: Bacteria
Description: partial 16S ribosomal RNA
Rfam family: Bacterial small subunit ribosomal RNA
Source: RNAcentral